Molecule: ribosomal RNA, 323 nt
Filed under: Wolbachia endosymbiont of Mayetiola destructor
Lineage: Bacteria; Pseudomonadati; Pseudomonadota; Alphaproteobacteria; Rickettsiales; Anaplasmataceae
Description: bacterial SSU rRNA
Rfam family: Bacterial small subunit ribosomal RNA
Source: RNAcentral
CAUCCUUAGUUACCAUCAGGUAAUGCUGGGGACUUUAAGGAAACUGCCAGUGAUAAACUGGAGGAAGGUGGGGAUGAUGUCAAGUCAUCAUGGCCCUUAUGGAGUGGGCUACACACGUGCUACAAUGGUGGCUACAAUGGGCUGCAAAGUCGCGAGGCUAAGCUAAUCCCUUAAAAGCCAUCUCAGUUCGGAUUGUACUCUGCAACUCGAGUGCAUGAAGUUGGAAUCGCUAGUAAUCGUGGAUCAGCACGCCACGGUGAAUACGUUCUCGGGUCUUGUACACACUGCCCGUCACGCCAUGGGAAUUGGUUUCACUCGAAGCU